RNAcentral lists this ribosomal RNA (970 nucleotides) under marine metagenome. RNAcentral describes it as "bacterial SSU rRNA". It matches the Rfam family "Bacterial small subunit ribosomal RNA", at positions 8 to 973 of the family's 1533-position model. The record is from RNAcentral.
AGAGUUUGAUCAUGGCUCAGAUUGAACGCUGGCGGUAGGCUUAACACAUGCAAGUCGUGCGAGAAAGUACCUUCGGGUGCGAGUAGAGCGGCGGACGGGUGAGUAACGCGUAGGAAUCUACCUAGUAGAAGGGGAUAGCCCGGGGAAACUCGGAUUAAUACCGUAUACCUCCUUAGGGAGAAAGAGGGCUUAGCUUUGAUGCUCUCGCUAUUAGAUGAGCCUGCGUAAGAUUAGCUUGUUGGUGAGGUAAUGGCUCACCAAGGCGACGAUCUUUAGCUGGUCUGAGAGGACGAUCAGCCACAUUGGGACUGAGACACGGCCCAGACUCCUACGGGAGGCAGCAGUGGGGAAUAUUGGACAAUGGGCGCAAGCCUGAUCCAGCCAUACCGCGUGUGUGAAGAAGGCUUUCGGGUUGUAAAGCACUUUAAGUAAGGAGAAAAAGAUUGUAGUUAAUACCUGCAAUCCGUGAUGUUACUUACAGAAUAAGGACCGGCUAAUUCCGUGCCAGCAGCCGCGGUAAUACGGAAGGUCCAAGCGUUAAUCGGAAUUACUGGGCGUAAAGCGCGCGUAGGUGGUUUUUUAAGUUGGAUGUGAAAGCCCUGGGCUCAACCUAGGAACUGCAUCCAAAACUAGAUGACUAGAGUACGAAAGAGGGAAGUAGAAUUCACAGUGUAGCGGUGGAAUGCGUAGAUAUUGUGAAGAAUACCAAUGGCGAAGGCAGCUUCCUGGUUCUGUACUGACACUGAGGUGCGAAAGCGUGGGUAGCGAACAGGAUUAGAUACCCUGGUAGUCCACGCCGUAAACGAUGACAACUAGCUGUUGGGAGACAAGAUCUCUCAGUGGCGCAGCUAACGCUUUAAGUUGUCCGCCUGGGGAGUACGGCCGCAAGGUUAAAACUCAAAUGAAUUGACGGGGACCCGCACAAGCGGUGGAGCAUGUGGUUUAAUUCGAUGCAACGCGAAAAACCUAC